This 465-nucleotide ribosomal RNA is filed under the name uncultured bacterium. Its description in RNAcentral is "bacterial SSU rRNA". It matches the Rfam family "Bacterial small subunit ribosomal RNA", at positions 338 to 795 of the family's 1533-position model. The record is from RNAcentral.
CCUACGGGCGGCACCAGUGGGGAAUAUCGCACAAUGGGCGCAAGCCUGAUGCAGCCAUGCCGCGUGUAUGAAGAAGGCCUUCGGGUUGUAAAGUACUUUCAGCGGGGAGGAAGGCGAUAAGGUUAAUAACCUUGUCGAUUGACGUUACCCGCAGAAGAAGCACCGGCUAACUCCGUGCCAGCAGCCGCGGUAAUACGGAGGGUGCAAGCGUUAAUCGGAAUUACUGGGCGUAAAGCGCACGCAGGCGGUCUGUCAAGUCGGAUGUGAAAUCCCCGGGCUCAACCUGGGAACUGCAUUCGAAACUGGCAGGCUAGAGUCCUGUAGAGGGGGGUAGAAUUCCAGGUGUAGCGGUGAAAUGCCUAGAGAUCUGGAGGAAUACCGGUGGCGAAGGCGGCCCCCUGGACAAGGACUGACGCUCAGGUGCGAAAGCGUGGGGAGCAAACAGGAUUAGAUACCCGGGUAGUC